GACGAACGCUGGCGGCGUGCUUAACACAUGCAAGUCGAACGGAAAGGCCCUGCUUUUGUGGGGUGCUCGAUUGGCGAACGGGUGAGUAACACGUGAGUAACCUGCCCUUGACUUUGGGGUAACUUCAGGAAACUGGGGCUAAUACCGGAUAGGAGCUCCUGCUGCAUGGUGGGGGUUGGAAAGUUUCGGCGGUUGUGGAUGGACUCGCGGCUUAUCAGCUUGUUGGUGGGGUAGUGGCUUACCAAGGCUUUGACGGGUAGCCGGCCUGAGAGGGUGACCGGCGACAUUGGGACUGAGAUACGGCCCAGACUCCUACGGGAGGCAGCAGUGGGGAAUAUUGCACAAUGGGCGGAAGCCUGAUGCAGCAACGCCGCGUGCGGGAUGACGGCCUUCGGGUUGUAAACCGCUUUCGCCUGUGACGAAGCGUGAGUGACGGUAAUGGGUAAAGAAGCACCAGCUAACUACGUG
Molecule: ribosomal RNA, 468 nt
Filed under: uncultured bacterium
Lineage: Bacteria
Description: partial 16S ribosomal RNA
Rfam family: Bacterial small subunit ribosomal RNA
Source: RNAcentral